Molecule: ribosomal RNA, 473 nt
Filed under: uncultured bacterium
Lineage: Bacteria
Description: bacterial SSU rRNA
Rfam family: Bacterial small subunit ribosomal RNA
Source: RNAcentral
AGAGUUUGAUCCUGGCUCAGAACGAACGCUGGCGGCAGGCCUAACACAUGCAAGUCGAACGGGCGUAGCAAUACGUCAGUGGCGGACGGGUGAGUAACACGUGGGAAUAUGCCUUUCGGUUCGGAACAACUCGGGGAAACCCGUGCUAAUUCCGGAUACGCCCUUACGGGGAAAGAUUUAUCGCCGAAAGAUUAGCCCGCGUUGGAUUAGCUAGUUGGUGAGGUAAAGGCUCACCAAGGCGACGAUCCAUAGCUGGUUUGAGAGAACGACCAGCCACACUGGGACUGAGACACGGCCCAGACUCCUACGGGAGGCAGCAGUGGGGAAUCUUGGACAAUGGGCGCAAGCCUGAUCCAGCCAUGCCGCGUGAGUGAUGAAGGCCUUCGGGUUGUAAAACUCUUUUGGCGGGGACGAUAAUGACGGUACCCGCAGAAUAAGCUCCGGCUAACUUCGUGCCAGCAGCCGCGGUAAUA